UACGUAGGGAGCAAGCGUUGUUCGGAUUUACUGGGCGUAAAGGGCGCGUAGGCGGCGCGGUAAGUCACUUGUGAAAUCUCUGAGCUUAACUCAGAACGGCCAAGUGAUACUGCAGUGCUAGAGUGCAGAAGGGGCAAUCGGAAUUCUUGGUGUAGCGGUGAAAUGCGUAGAUAUCAAGAGGAACACCGGUGGCGAAGGCGGCAUCCUGGACCGGUAUUGACGCUGAGGCGCGAAAGCCAGGGGAGCAAACGGG
Molecule: ribosomal RNA, 253 nt
Filed under: uncultured bacterium
Lineage: Bacteria
Description: partial 16S ribosomal RNA
Rfam family: Bacterial small subunit ribosomal RNA
Source: RNAcentral